GAACUGGGUCCGGAUGAACACACCACAAACCAACCAUUGCCAUUCUCUCGAACCUUUUGAAAUCAUCCGACACUUCUGGAUCAUGCUUAACCACCGCCUCUAGCUUACCCUUUCUCACACAAGUCAGAACCCAAUCCACGAGAAUAAGGUCAUCUUCUUCCGAUUCUUCCUCAACCCGGUUCAGCUCUAUGUGCUUUCUGCAGCAUAUGAUCUCAAGCAGCAGCACCCCAAAACUGUAGACAUCAACCUUGGCCGUUACUGGAACAUUUUUGAGCCAUUCUGGUGCCAUGUAUCCCAUUGUUCCUCUCACAUUGGUGCUUGUUCUAGUCUGAUCUUUCAUCAAUAGCUUCGCCAGGCCAAACUCUGCAAUUUUGGGAUUGAAUUGACUAUCAAGUAACACGUUCUGGGGCUUUAUAUCACAGUGAAUGAUUUGGGUUUCACAUUCAUCAUGUAAAUACGAGAGCCCACGUGCAAUUGCCAGAACAAUUUGAGCUCUAUGAUCCCAGCAUGGUUUCUCACCCUCGGAAAAUAGAAAACCAGACAGAGUCCCAUUUGUCAUCAGCUCAUAGACUAGAAGUCUAUGACUUUGCUCAUCACAGAAACCCAACAGCUUGACUAAAUUUUUGUGAUGGGUUUGGCCUAUUACCCUCAACUCUGUCAGAAAUUCUUUGUCACCUUGUUCCAUCACUCUCUCCAGCUUCUUCACAGCAAUCUUUAUCUGCUUAUCUUCCAAAUUUAGAAUCCCACUAUAUACUGUCCCGAAUGAUCCUCUUCCGAUUUUGUUUUUGAACCCAUCGGUUGCUUCAUGCAACUCCCUAUAUGUGAAUUUUUUCAAGUUGAUCUCUGCAGGAUUUGCAAGGAAUUUUCUUGCUCUGGAUAGUCUAGCUAUAGGGUUAUAUAUUGCAAAGGCAGCAAACAGGAGAGCAAGCAUGGUGCUUAUUGAAAGGCAUACCUUCAGAAUCAUCUGAGAGCGAGGCUCUUUCUUCCCCGCUAUUAGACCAUCAGUCUUCCCUUGCUCUACCACUGGAACCUUGAUGAUGGUUUGUAUCCCAUUAGUAGAAGGGCUGCUCUGUCUGGCAUUCAUAAAAGGAAUCCUCUUCUUGCGGCAAACGUUGUCUGCUGUUAGGGUAGCUGCCAUGCAAUAGCAAUCAUCCAUGACUGCCUCCCUGCAUUUCUCCAAAUCAGAAUUGUACAGUCGAGUCAUUUCUGUGAAUAAGUUGUUCACAAUAUCCGCAUUAUCAAUCACUUCUAUGUUAUAAUUUGUCACAUCAGAUGGACUCUUGGAGCACUGUUGCGGUGGGACAUUUGGAUAGCAUCCUUUGGAAGGAACAUUAGGAUCCAUGAGAGAAUAACCUGGAAGACAGCUACAAGUAACGUUUUGAUUAUCGGGAGAAGUACAGUAGCCGUAAACACCGCAAAUACCAUUGACAGAGCAAGGUUCAGUGGCCGCUUUCCAAACACUUGUCCAUCCGCUGCCAUUUACCUUAGGGUAAAUAUACUGCUGGAAAUUUCCGGUGUCUUCUACGGUUGCUCUGUGAUAAUAGCGGUCAACUGGUGUUGGCACAUUCGUGGUCAACCGGUAAAUGAUGGAAGUUAAAUUGGUAACAUACAUCAAUGCUGUGCUCUCAUUGAACACAAGACUAACGUUGGGCUGUAUAGUAUCAGUCCACCAGUAACCACUGUCUGCCCAUCGGAAUGUAGCUAGGACCACAUUUCCAUCAGUACCCACCUCUAGCAUGAAUUUUCCGGUAGAGUAGUCCACAGUUCCGUUAGCAUUGGAGUAGAGCCUAUGGUCCCAUGGAACUUUCUGGCCCAGUAAAAGUGUGUCCGUUGGGUUAUCAAAACUUUGCCACACCACACUUGAAACAAAGUUUCUUAAGACAAGGUUGCCGUUGUUUUGCAAGGAAGCUGAAUUCGCAGCACUGGCGCCGUUGGAUAUUUGGGAGACGGUUCCGUUGGGGAACGUCAGCACAAGGCUUCCAGCGAGCGUGAGGUUGACGGAGGAUCCAGCAGGGGCUGGAGCAUCCCGAUUUGCCGACCAAACAACGGUUUUCUCAGGAAUCUUAUUGAACCAAAUUCCAAGAAGAAACAGACCACCAGGGAGAGGGUAGAACCCGAAAGCAAAGUCGCCUGAGAGUGAGAGCCACGAGGAAUUUGUGUGGGUGUCGAAGCUGGAUCCUAAGCUUAUAUUUCCCUUCACUUGGGCAUGGGAUCCAAGGAAGAAGUGUAGCAGUAGCAGAGAGAACACAAGAAGUAUGGUAGCCGCCAUUGUUAUGUGGGGAAGAUAGGAAAAUUCGCAACAACAAAACAGAUGGGAUGAUUGUAUAUAGGAAAAACCUUGCAAAACUUCCACAUCGUGGAGAGACCACAGAAAACAAUGACUCACCCAACCACAGAAAGACACUAAGCAGUGCGGACCCGGAGACUUUCGUUAGGGCCACCUCAAAAAUAUUAUAUUAUAAUCUUCAUUCAUAAAUUAUAAGAUAAUUAAUGGUAUUUUUUAUUAUUAUUAUUAAAUAAUUAAAUAAUUUUAAAUAUUAAUUAUGAAUGGGUAAGUGUCAAAUUAAUGGUGCGGUCCCGAAUGAUACCCUUAUGGACUAAUAAUGGUAGAAAGCGAUAGAAAUUAGUGGUGUGGUCCUCUUUGGUGUAUGGGAAAGUCCAUAUAUAGUGCCGGAAUAUGUACGCAAAAAUAUAAGUCUUCCAUGCGGAACAAAAAUUUCCAAAAGUUGGGCAAAUUAAGAUCUAGAUAGGAAUAUGAGAACUAAGUAACAAAUGUGAAUGUCAUUGUAGGUCCACCCAGGAAGAAAAAUUUCCAAAGUUCGAAAAGAUGUACAUGGUGGGAAGAUGAGAAACUAUCCAACAAAUGUGAAUGUCAUUAUAGGUCCACCCAAGAAGAAAUUAUUUUUAUAUAUUUUUUCAAAUUUAUUUUGCUUACUUUUCUCUUUUAUAUAUAUUUAUAUUUAUUUAUAAUAAAACAAAAUAUAAAAAAAAAACUAUUUUCUCUAACACGGUUUUCUUUUUUUAGUAGUUUCUGCACAGAAACAUCACCGAGAAGUAUUCAACUUGCGUCAACCUUUGAACAGUACUUUCUCACAAUUUGAGGAUAUCUUUUUCCAGAAUAGUGUGGGUAGGCCCUGCUUCUUGAAUCUUGAGCCUUGUUGGCUGUAUGCCAAGGUUGAAAAUUAUGGUCUUAGUUUUGUCGACUUGUAUGGUAGACUGGGCUUCAUAUGGUGGACCUAUGCCCUGUCCUUCUGAUGUUUAUUUUAAUUUGAGGAGUUUAAAUAAUUUCCUCGUUUUGUUUCUUAAUUGGAAUAUCUUAUUUUUCACAAUAGUUUCAAGCUCUAAUUUAACCGAUUUUCCUAAAUUUUAUUAGAAUAGGGUAGAAUCUAAUUACAAACCUCUGAUCUUGCUCUCUCAAAAUUAAUUUUUUUAGCCAUCCAAGGUGAUGAUCUCCCACGUAUACAAAAAUACAAAAAAAAAAAAAAAAAAAAGGAAAAAGGAAAAGAAGAAGAAGAAAAAUUGACACAAUAUCCUAACGAAAAACAAACCAUGAUGAAUGAAAAGAAGAACAAGACAAACUCCAAACUUCAAAUGUGAUACAGGGGGCUGCUCGCUAAGGUAUAAAAUUCAAAGAUGUGGAAUUUAGAAUGUUGGGGCAUGGGCCAGGGGUGGGACGGCCACCUCCACUGUUCCUUCCAACAUCUGAAUCACCUUCUUCAUGGUUGGACGUAGAAUUGGGUCCGGAUGAACACACCACAAACCAACCAUUGCCAUUCUUUCGAACCUUUUGAAAUCAUCCGACACUUCUGGAUCAUGCUUAACUACCGCCUCUAGCUUACCCCUAAUCACACAAGUCAGAACCCAAUCUACGAGAAUAAGGUCAUCUUCUUCCGAUUCUUCCUCAACCCGGUUCAGCUCUAUGUGCCUUCUGCAGCAUAUGAUCUCAAGCAGCAGCACCCCAAAACUGUAGACAUCAACCUUGGCCGUUACUGGAACAUUUUUGAGCCAUUCUGGUGCCAUGUAUCCCAUUGUUCCUCUCACAUUGGUGCUUGUUCUAGUCUGAUCUUUCAUCAGUAGCUUCGCCAGGCCAAAGUCUGCAAUCUUGGGAUUGAAUUGACUAUCAAGUAACACGUUCUGGGGCUUUAUAUCACAGUGGAUGAUCUGGGUUUCACAUUCAUCAUGUAAAUACGAGAGCCCACGUGCAACUGCCAGAACAAUUUGAGCUCUAUGAUCCCAGCAUGGUUUCUCACCCUCGGCAAAUAGAAAACCAGACAGAGUCCCAUUUGUCAUCAGCUCAUAGACUAGAAGUCUAUGACUUUGCUCAUCACAGAAACCCAGCAGCUUGACUAAAUUUUUGUGAUGGGUUUGGCCUAUUACCAUCACCUCUGUCAGAAAUUCUUUGUCACCUUGUUCCAUCACUUUCUUCAGCUUCUUCACAGCAAUCUCUAUCUCCUUAUCCUCAAAAUUUAGAACCCCACUAUAUACUGUCCCGAAUGAUCCGCUUCCGAUUUUGUUUUUGAACCCAUCGGUUGCUUCAUGCAACUCCCUAUAUGUGAAUUUUUUCAAGUUGAUCUCUGCAGGGUUUGCAAGGACUUUUCUUGCUCUGGAUCGUCUAGCUAUAGGGUGAUUAUAUAUUGCAACAGCAGCGAAUAGGAAAGCAAGAAUGCUGCUUAUUGAAAGGCAUACCUUCAGAUUUCUUCCCCUCUAUUUGACCAUCAGUCUUCCCUGGCUCUACCACUGGAACCUUGAUGAUGGUUUGUAUCCCAUUAGUAGAAGGGCUGCUCUGUCUGGCAUUCAUAAAAGGAAUCCUCUUCUUGCGGCAAACGUUGUCUGCUGUUAGGGUUGCUGCCAUGCAAUAGCAAUCAUCCAUGCAUGACUGCCUGCAUUUCUCCAAAUCAUAAUUGUAGAGUCGAGUCAUUUCUGCGAAUUCGUUGUUCACAAUGUCCGCAUCGCCAAUCACUUCUAUGGUAUAAUUUGUCACAUUGGAUGGGCUCUUGGAGCACUGUUGCGGUGGGACAUUUGGAUAGCAUCCUUUGGAAGGAACAUUAGGAUCCAUGAGAGAAUAACCUGGAAGACAGCUACAAGUAACGUUUUGAUUAUCGGCAGAAGUACAGUAGCCGUAAACACCGCAAAUACCAUUGACAGAGCAAGGUUGAGUGACCGCUUUCCAAACACUUGUCCAUCCGCUGCCAUUUACCUUAGGGUAAAUAUACUGCUGGAAAUUUCCGGUGUCUUCUACGGUUGCUCUGUGAUAAUAGCGGUCAACUGGUGUUGACACAUUCGUGGUCAACCGGUAAAUGAUGGAAGUUAAAUUGGUAACAUACAUCAAUGCUGUGCUCUCAUUGAACACAAGACUAACGUUGGGCUGUAUAGUAUUAGUCCACCAGUAACCACUGUCUGCCCAUCGGAAUGUAGCUAGGACCACAUUUCCAUCAGUACCCACCUCUAGCAUGAAUUUUCCGGUAGAGUAGUCCACAGUUCCGUUAGCAUUGGAGUAAAGCCUACGGUCCGAUGGAACUGUCUGGCCCGGCAAGAGAGUGUCCGUUGGGUUAUCAAAACUUUGCCACACCACACUUGAAGAGUUCCUUAAGACAAGGUUGUUAGAUAUUUUUCUUCUAAUGUCCCACAUGACACGUGUAUGGCUUUAGUCUUUUAUUUAAAUGGAGUUAUCUAAUCUAAUCUCUAAAAUUUUGGCUAUACAAUUAGAGAAGUAGUUUCCUAUUUUUUUGUUUACUCCUGACUUUGAUGGGAAGUGGAGUAGCGGUUACUAAAUUGUUGGCAGUUAUCAAAAAGGAAAUGGGUCCUCUCUCUACCCAUUUAAGUAGCAUUACACAGUUUCCAUUUUUUCGUGUGUGGUAUGUAAUUUUCAUUUUUGAAAGAAAAAAGGGCUAAGAGAGAGAAACCGAUAUCCUGGAGAAUUCUACAAUUUUUCAGAUCAAGAAUUAAAUGAAAGAGAUUGCUAUGGAUUCAGGUAUGUUAUUUAUGUUUGUGAAAAUCAUGAUAGUCAAGAUCUUGGAAUUUAUAAAGCAUUAAGUUUAAAGUUUCAUUUUAUUUAUAACAUGUGGUAUCAGAGCAAGGUUAAGACUUUCAUGAUUUUCCAUUAUGAUCUAUUUGUUGGAAUCAUUUAUUUGGGGAAGUUUUUUUUUUCUUAAUAUUUUCGGUAACCAAACACAGCAAAAUAGAAACCACCUGAAUUUUCCUCAAAUGGGCCAUUUUGGCAUCCUUGAAUGGAUGCACCUGUAUUUCACAAUGAUGAGCAGCAGCAGCAAUAGUGAAUAGCUGGUCACCAUUAGGAUAUUGGACAACAUGGAGAAAACGGAUUCACACGGGAUGCACUCACUUGGGUCCAUUUGAGAAUUAGUUUCAAAUCUCUUCAUAUCCUAAAAUAAUAGUAGACAUAUAGAUGAAGUUAUGCAGCAACCAUCUUCUAGUAGACAUAAAAAAUUCAGCCAAAAUAAAGCCAGAGAUAGAAACUACUAGGAUUUAGAAAUUCUGUGGCUCUUCUUCAUGAUGCCGAAUAAAGAUCUGCAAAUCACAUUAAAGGAGUGGCAGAAAAAUACCCGCAAAAUAUAAGACAAAUUAAAUUUUUUAUUUAUUUAAUUUAUUUACAUUAUUAAUUACAUAUUAUCCAGUGACUAACUAAUUCCUAGAUAAGUGGGUUUUUAUUUUUCUGGGUAAUCAUAUAUGAUGCUAUUUCCAUGAGAAUUUCUAGUGAUAUUGUUGGCUACUUUAAUUUAUUAAACAAAUCACAUAUUUUUAGUGCAAUUUUUUUUUUCUUCCACGUGAUGCUACAUGCUACAUGCCUAUCUUUUAGUAAAUUGAUAAUAUUGCCCAUAAUUUGUUCUACAGUAUAGAACACAGUGCACGGAAUGUGUAUCAUUUACAAAUCUGAUUCAUGUCUAGAUUUUAUAAGUGACAUUUCUUGUAUUGAUAUGUUAUAAUUAUUUUCUAUAGUUUAUAUGAACAUGAAAUUGUCACUUAUAUGAAACUGUUUAGAUGAUAAUAUGAUGUGAUUGAUGAUAAAUUGUUUUGCAAAGUGAUUAUUUCAACUCGAAAUCCUAUUUUAUGAAAUAGUUUGGUGAUCACCAAAGUGAACCAACUAGAAAGUCAUAGGUUUUAAGUUGUAUUUUGGAUCUUAAUACUAAUAUCCCACGUAUUAAGAAAAUAGCUUUGCAAAUUUUUGAAUAGAUAUUUAUAUGUAUCUUUGAUCAUGAGAAUAUUUUGGCUUGGCCCAAAGGUGCACCACUUUUCUUGUGAUUAAUAUAUUGAGGUAAAAUAAUUAAUAUGUACCCUUAAUUGAGAGUUGGAAUCGGAUACCCAAAGGUAACGGACCUAUCGGAUUAUGGAUACAUUAUUAAUUAUUUUUGAUAGGUGAAAGGGAAUCACCAUAAUAGUCAAAAGUUUAAUUUUGUAUGUUGUAAUUUUCAUCCAAAGAUGUGUUACAAUAGUACUAUUUAUUAUUUAUUAUUUAACUCAAAGCAUUAAUGUGUGAGCAUAUAUUUAAUUGCAGUUUCAGUUCCUAUUUCGCUUCAUUCGCACGCUUCAUCUGUUUCGAUCCUUAAUGGAACAAAUUUCUCAGACUGGUUUGAGCAAGUCCAGUUUCACCUAGGUGUAUUGGAUCUUGAUUUGACACUUCGGACUGAGAAACCGCCUGCUAUUACUGAGGAAAGUAGCACGGAAGAAAAAACUUUAAGUCAUUCUUGGGAAAGAUCGAACAGAUUGAGCAUUAUGUUUAUGCGAAUGAGUAUAGCAAACAACAUUAAGUCAACACUUCCUGAACGUGACACUGCUAAGGAAUUUUUUAAGACUGUGGAAGAACGUUUUCGUUCAGCUGACAAGUCUCUUGCUGGGACAUUAAUGGAUGAACUUACCACCAUGAAGUUUGAUGGUACUCGUGGGAUGCAUGAGCACAUCCUUGAGAUGUCAAAUCUAGCUGCUAAACUGAAGGCUCUUGGGAUGAAUGUGGAUGAGUCUUUUCUUGUUCAAUUUAUUUUGAACUCCUUGCCUCUUCAGUAUGGGCCAUUUCAAAUUCAUUACAACACUAUUAAGGACAAGUGGAAUGUAAAUGAAUUGGCCAGUAUGCUUGUUCAAGAAGAGACAAGACUUAAGCAACAAGGACAUCAUUCAAUUCACCUUAAAAGUAAAGGAGCUAGUAAGAAGUGGAAGAAACCUAAGAAGGGCAAAAGGGCAGAACCACCUAAGAUCAAUGGGCCAAAUCAAAGAAUAGAGGUUCAUGAAAGGGGACAAAACAGUAUCAAGUGUCGUUUCUGUAAGAAGUUUGGGCAUGUUCAGAGAGAUUGCCACAAACGUAAGGCAUGGUUUGAGAAGAAAGGUAAGCCUUUAGCUUACGUAUGUUUCGAAUCAAAUCUUACUGAAGUUCCUUCUAAUACUUGGUGGAUUGACUUAGGUUCCACUGUUCAUGUUUCUAAUUCGAUGCAGGGCUUCCUUACAAUCCAGACUUUAAACCAAAAUGAAAGUUCCAUAGUUGUGGGAAAUGGAGUCAAAGUUCUAGUGGUUGCUACCGGGACAUUUCGUUUAUUUCUAGACACUGAUUGUUAUCUAGAUUUGUUUCAGACUCUUUAUGUUCCUUCUAUUUCUCGUAAUUUGGUUUCUAUGUCUAAACUUGACCUGGAAGGUUAUUCAUUUUCAUUUCGUAAUAGAAGAUUCAGUUUGUUUAAAAAUUCUUCUUUUGUUGGUUUUGGAAGUUUAUGUGAUGGUUUGUAUAAACUGAAUCUUAAUAAUCGUUUUACUGAAAGCCUUCUAACCCUGCAUCAUAAUUUCGGAACUAAACGUAACCUGAUCAAUGAAAGUUCUUCUUACUUGUGGCACAAAUGUUUGGGUCAUAUAUCCAAAGAAAGAAUGAAGAGAUUAGUGAAAGAUGGGAUUUUGCAUAACCUAGAUUUUACUGAUCUCGAUGUGUGUGUGGAUUGUAUUAAGGGAAAACAAACCAAACAUACAAAGAAGGGUGCUACAAGAAGUGGAGAACUUCUUGAAAUCAUCCAUACGGACAUUUGUGGGCCGUUUGACUUGCCAUCUUUUGGUAAAGAAAAAUAUUUUAUCACUUUCAUUGAUGAUUUUUCACGUUAUUGUUAUAUCUAUUUAUUGCAUGAAAAAUCUCAAGCAGUGGAUGCCCUAGAGGUGUACAUUGUUGAGGUUGAAAGGCAAUUAGAUAAAAAAGUGAAAAUUAUCAGAUCAGAUAGAGGUGGUGAAUAUUAUGGUAGAAAUGAUGGAUUGGGUCAAUGCCCUGGCCCAUUUGCUAAACUCUUAGAAAAGCAUGGUAUAUGUGCACAAUACACUAUGCCAGGUACGCCUCAGCAGAAUGGAGUGGCUGAAAGGCGUAAUCGUACAUUGAUGGAUAUGGUUAGGAGUAUGUUAAGUAAUUCCUCUUUACCCAUUUCAUUAUGGAUGGAAGCCCUUAAGACCGCUGUUUAUUUAUUGAAUAGGGUUCCUACUAAAACAGUUCCAAAGACUCCUUUUGAACUGUGGACAGGAAGGAAACCAAGUUUAAGGCACUUGCAUGUUUGGGGUUGCCCAGCGGAGGCUAGGAUUUAUAAUCCACAUGAAAAGAAAUUGGAUUUCAAAACCAUUAGUGGUUACUUUAUUGGCUAUCCAAUGAAAUCCAAAGGGUAUAGGUUUUAUUGUCCUAAUCAUAGUACGAAAAUUGUUGAAACGGGUAAUGCCAGAUUCAUUGAGAAUGAUGAAAUCCGUGGGAGUGAUCAAUUACAAAAAACAAAUAUUCAAGAAGUUAGGGUACAAGUCCCACUACCCAUAACUUCUAAAGAAAUUGUUAUUCCUACAAUUGUAGAAUCAUUUGGCAAUGUUAAACAACAAAUUAAUGAUCAGUCACUCUCCAAUGAGAUUAUCACUAAUGAACCAAUUAUGGAAGGACCACAACAGUCAACAUUAAGAAGGUCUCAAAGAGAACGUAGACAUGCUAUUUCUGAUGAUUAUGUGGUUUAUUUACAAGAAUCUGAUUAUGAUAUUGGGACAAGUAAAGACCCGGUUUCAUUUUCACAAGCCAUUAGCUGUAGUGAUUCUGAUAAAUGGAUUGAUGCCAUGAAUGAUGAGUUGAAAUCAAUGGAUCAAAAUAAAGUCUGGGAACUUGUCGAAUUGCCUGAAGGAUAUAAAGCAGUUGGUUGUAAAUGGGUCUUUAAGACCAAACGCGACUCAAAAGGCAAUAUUGAACGACAUAAAACCAGACUUGUGGCCAAAGGUUUUACUCAGAAAGGGGGUAUUGAUUAUAAGGAGACCUUCUCUCCUGUAUCCAAGAAAGACUCACUUAGAAUCAUUAUGGCUUUAGUUGCUCAUUUUGAUUUAGAGCUACACCAAAUGGAUGUGAAAACUGCUUUUCUUAAUGGGAGUUUAGAAGAAAAGGUUUAUAUGGAUCAACCUGAAGGUUUCUCCAUAAAGGGAAAAGAACAGAUGGUUUGCAAAUUAAAUAAGUCAAUAUAUGGACUUAAACAAGCUUCUAGACAAUGGUAUCUUAAAUUCAAUGAUACUAUUACUUCCUUCGGAUUUAAGGAAAACAUCGUUGAUCGGUAUAUAUACCUGAAGGUUAGUGGGAGCAAGUUUAUAUUUCUAAUUUUAUAUGUUGAUGGUAUUUUUCUUGCCAGUAGUGAUCUUGGUUUAUUGCACACAACCAAGAAAUUCCUCUCUGAGAAUUUUGAAAUGAAAGAUAUGGGUGAGGCAACUUAUGUGAUUGGAAUAGAAAUAUUCCGUGAUCGCUCACGUGGUUUGUUGGGGUUGUCUCAAAACCAAUAUAUUGAAACAAUCUUAGAGAGAUUUGGUAUGGAGAACUGUUCAGCUAGUGUAGCCCCAAUUCAGAAAGGGGAUAAAUUUAGUCUCAUGCAAUGUCCAAAAAAUGAAUGGGAACGUAAACAGAUGGAAAAAAUUCCUUAUGCUUCUGCUGUAGGAAGUUUGAUGUAUGCACAAACUUGCACCAGACCAGACAUCAGUUUUGCAGUUGGUAUGUUGGGCAAAUACCAAAGUAAUCCUGGAAUGGAUCAUUGGAAAGCUGCAAAGAAAGUGAUGAGGUACUUGAGGGGAACAAAAGAUUAUAUGCUUGCUUUUAAGAGGUCUGAUAAUUUGGAGGUGAUUGGCUACACAGAUUCAGACUUUGCUGGAUGUGUUGAUAGUAGAAAAUCAACUUUUGGUUAUGUAUAUCUAUUGGCUGGGGCAGCAAUUUCAUGGAAAAGUGCUAAACAAACUAUUAUUGCUGCAUCCACAAUGGAAGCUGAAUUUGUGGCAUGCUUUGAGGCCACGGUUCAGGGUUUAUGGCUGCGAAAUUUUAUCUCAGGGCUUGCUAUUGUCGACACUAUUGAGAAGCCGUUGAAGAUUUAUUGUGAUAAUUCUGCAGCUGUAUUUUUCUCCAAGAACGACAAAUACUCUAAUGGUGCUAAACACAUGGAGUUAAAGUAUUUUGCCGUUAAGGAGGAAGUUCAGAAACAACGUGUGUCUAUUGAACAUAUUAAUACUGAGCUCAUGGUUGCAGAUCCACUAACUAAAGGGUUACCACCAAAGACAUUUAAAGAACAUGUUAAAAGAAUGGGUCUUGAUUGUAACCCUUGAUGCCUAUUAUGUUUGGAUUGCAAAUGUUUGUUUAUGUUAUUAGACAUUUUGAGAUCUCAUUAAUCAUGUUUCUGAUUUUUCCUGUUUUCCAUUUUGUACGUACAUCUAUGAGAUUGGAUAAAUGAUAACAGGAAGUCUUUUACAAAGACAUUUUUUUUGUUGGACCAAUUUUGGAUACUUCUCAUUUAUGAACCAUGGUUGAUUGGAUUGCUAGUGUUGUAGUACAUGGAAGGGACUAUGUCGCCUUAUUGAUGUACAACCACCAUGACUCAUACUAGUGAUUCAUUUGACCAUAGUAUUUAUGAUGACCAAUUUGAGUUAGAAAUGGAUUAGUUUUUUAUGCGCAUAAUGUUGACUUCAUUGGGGCUAAAAUAAAGUUAGUCAUAUGGGACAAGUGGGAGAAUGUUAGAUAUUUUUCUUCUAAUGUCCCACAUGACACGUGUAUGGCUUUAGUCUUUUAUUUAAAUGGAGUUAUCUAAUCUAAUCUCUAAAAUUUUGGCUAUACAAUUAGAGAAGUAGUUUCCUAUUUUUUUGUUUACUCCUGACUUUGAUGGGAAGUGGAGUAGCGGUUACUAAAUUGUUGGCAGUUAUCAAAAAGGAAAUGGGUCCUCUCUCUACCCAUUUAAGUAGCAUUACACAGUUUCCAUCUUUUCGUGUGUGGUAUGUAAUUUUCAUUUUUGAAAGAAAAAAGGGCUAAGAGAGAGAAACCGAUAUCCUGGAGAAUUCUACAAUUUUUCAGAUCAAGAAUUAAAUGAAAGAGAUUGCUAUGGAUUCAGGUAUGUUAUUUAUGUUUGUGAAAAUCAUGAUAGUCAAGAUCUUGGAAUUUAUAAAGCAUUAAGUUUAAAGUUUCAUUUUAUUUAUAACAAAGGUUGCCAUUGUUUUGGAAGGAAGCCGAAUUUGCAGGAUUGGUGGCGCCGUCGUGUAUUUGGAUGACGGUUCCGUUGGGGAACGUCAGCACAAGGCUUCCAGUGAGCGUGAGGUUGACGGAGGAUCCAGCAGGGGCUGGAUCAUCCCGAUUUGCUGACCAAACAACGGUCUUCUCAGUAAUUUUAUCGAACCAAAUUCCAAGAAGAAACAGGCCGCCAGGGAGAGGAUAGAACCCGAAAGCAAAGUCGCCGGAGGGUGAGAGCCAGGAGGAAUUUGUCUCGGUGUCGAAGCUGGACCCUAAGCUUAUAUUUCCCUGUAAUUGCGCAUGGGAGCCAGACAAGAAGUAUACCAGUAGUAAAGACAACAAAAGAAGUAUGGUGGCUGCCAUUGUUUUGCGGGGAAGAUAGGAAAAUUUGAAAUAGAGAAAAACAGAUGGGAUGAUUACAUAUAGGAAAAACCUUGCAAAAUUUUCUUUUAAUGUCGAAUAAAGGAGCGUGGAGAGACCGUCGAAGACAAUAACUUUCCCAAUCAUUCAAAAUGGCACUCUCGCCGAAAUUUCUGCAGAAUACCGUCUAUCACCCCCUGACAAGUCCAUAUACCAGAAUAUGUACACAGAAAUUUAAGUCUUCCACGCGGAACAGAAAUUUCCAAAAGUUGGAAAAUUAAGAUGUAGAUAGGAACCUGAGAAACUAAGCAACAGACAUGAAUGCCAUUGUAGGUCCACUCACAUGUUACACCUGGGAAAAAAAAUCCCAAAGUUGGAAAAGAUGUAGGAAGGAAAUUGAGAAUCUAAGAUGCUGUUUGGAAACUAUUUACUAUUUUUAAUCAUGGUUUUUUUUUCUACAAAACAAUAAAAUAGAAGGACAUGACAUUCAAUAAUCAUAAAAACAUCGUUUUUAGUUAUUUUUAUUUAUUUUCAUUCAUUUUAAAGAAAUAUAUAUAAAUGUGAAUAAUGAUUAAAAGAAAAAACAUGAUAUAUAAAAAUAUGUUUAAAAUAUAUUUAAAAAAACGAUUUUCAGUUACUUUAUUUAUUUUUUAAUAGAUAUUUAAAAAAAUAAUUAUAAAAAUAUGGAUAAUGAUUAAAAACAAAAUAUCACGUAUAAAAAUUAUUUCUAAAAACUUAUUUAAAAACAUAAAAAAUUGGGUCAACAACGGAUAAUUUAGUUCGAGUGCGAAAGAAAAAUAGUACAACUUCCGUAUGGAGAUGAAAUGAUAUCCUCAUGGACUAACAAUGGUAGAGAGUAAUAGAAAUUUAUGGUGUGGUCCUGAGUCAAACUCGUGCUUUGGCCUUGAAUUGUAAUCCCAUCUAAUAUAUUAUUAAAAGAAACCAGGUAUGCUGUAAUGCCGCAAACCCAAUUUAGGGUAACAUCGUAAUUUAUAAAUUAUUAAUUCAUUAAAAUAAUUUACUAAAGGUAAAAAUGUAUUUUCGUAUUUAAAAUUCUUAUAUAAAUUAGAUUUUUCUCAUAUUUCCUAUUCAGAAAACUUUUUUACACAGAUAUUAUCAGAGAGUAGAGGGUUGAUUUGGAUGUUUAGGGUUUGAAGAUUAAUUUUUCAGGUAAGAUUUUAAUCCUUAAAUUAAUAUUUUAUAUUUGUUAAUUAGUUUUAAAAACUUUAGAUAAUCUUUGAAAGAUCUCAAUCUAGAUUAGAGUUUGUUAAAUUAAUUUUUAGAUUAAAAAACUGAAAAUUUAUGAAUGUUGAUUAAUUUGUGAUGAAAAUAGGAGAAUUUAGAAAAUUUCAAUUAAAUAGAAAACAAAAUCAAUGGAAGAAAAGAAAUUUUAGAUUUAGAAAAUAAAUAAAUAAAUUGUUUGUGUAGGCUUUAGAUUUGGAAAAAAAAACGUGUAGAUAUAUGUAUUGUAUGAAAAAUAAAAAUAAAUAUAAAUAAAUAAAUAUAAUGAGAGGCAUGUAGGUGGCUCUGUUCAAUGUUGUGGGAAAAAAAAAUUGGAGGACGUCUCUGUUGCCCAAGUGUUGACUUAGACAUUAGAAAAGAUUGUAUAUGUAAAUAUAUUAUUAUAAUAAUAAAUAAUGAGAAGAAACAUGAAAUUUGCUAUUUUAUUCUUAGGGGUUUGUGUGUAAUGAAGAUAGGAGGGUAAUGAGUUGGUUUUGUAUUGAAUUUGAAAAUUAAUAAAAAUUAUAAUAUUUAGUUUUAAGCUAACAAAUGAAAUAUUAAUAAUAAUAAUAGUUUCUCGUAUAAGUUUUAAUUUAAUUUAAGUAUAUAAAGAAAUAAAUAGUAAGGAUAAGAUUAGGAAAGAAAAUGAAUUUUAUAAUAAUUUGAAAACUCACUAAUUAAUUUAUUAUUGUUUAAUAAGUUAAAAAAUAAUAUUGGGUAGUAAUAAUAUUAGUAUGAGAAAUUAAUUAGGAUCUCUAAUAUUAAAUAAAUAUUUUUAGGAUUUUCAAAUUUAUAUAUUUACAUAAAUAAUCAAUAAUCAAUAUUGUGUAUGAUAUGUGAAUAGAAAUUUUUUUAGAGUUAAAUACUUCAAGGUAAAGGAAAUUAAUGCAGACUUUUAUAAAAAUAAAAAAAUAAAAAAAUAUUUUUAUAUUGUAUUUUGAAAUAUGUAAAAAUAUUAUUUUUGCUGUAAAAUAUGAGAUUCUGUACUACUAUGAUAACUUGUGGAUGAUCAUCCAUAAAUAUCCUGUGUAACUCCCAAGGAGAGACCCCUAAUGAAAUUCAAGAGGGCUUUCCCGUACACUCCGUUAUCUAUUUUUUACUAAUAGUCUCUACAAAAAAAUAUAAAGAUUUUUCUUUAUUCAAAGAAAUAAGAAAGACGUUAUUCUUUUUACAGAAAUAGAAAGAUGUUAUUCUCUUUAGAGAAAUAGAAAAAUCUUCUCUUUUUUUUCUCACAAAAAGGUAUGUGAUAAACUUAUAUCAUGAUUUUCUACUUUAUCACCAUUUGACUCUCUAUUUUCACUUAUUUUAUUUGAAUAUAUAAAUUUGUGCAAUCCCUAUAACCAGAAGUUAUGAGAUAAAUUAUAAAUUAUUAAAUUAAUUCAUAACCAGAAGUUAUGAAAAAUAUGUGCAAUCCCUAUAACCAAAAGUUAUAGGGAAAAUUAUAAAAUUACAAAUACAUGACCAAAAGUUAUGUAUAUGAUCCCUAAUUAUUUAUUUUUAAUUAUACGGUAUAACUAGAAGUUAUACCAAACAAUAUUAUAGCCAGAAGUUAUAAAGUAAAUAAAUAAAUGAAUGUUCAUAGUCUGAAACUAUAUACAAAUCUACAUAAUGAAAGUUCAUAGCCCGAAGCUAUGCACAAAUCUACCCAAUGAAUAGUUCAUAGCUUGAAACUAUAUACAAAUUUAUAUAUAUAUAUAUAUAUAUAUAUAUAUAAACAGUUCAUAGCCUGAAGUUAUGUACAAAUUUAAAUAUUUUCUUGUUUUGACAAAAUAAUCAUGGUUUGAAGCUAUGAAAGAUAUUAACUUUUAAUUUAUUUAAUUUCUUUUAAUUAUAUUGUGUAACUAGAAAUUAUACAUAAAUAGUUUAUAGCCUGAAGCUAUGUACAAAUUUGCAUAUUUUCUUGUUUUUGACAAAAUGAUCAUAAUUCAAAGUUAUGGAAAAUAUUGGCCUUUAAUUUUUUAUUUUGUACUCACUUAUUUUUCACAAUAGGAAUUAUGGAAAAUAGUUUUUAUUAACAAUAGUUUCAUAGAUAGAAGCUAUGCAUACAAUUUCUAAUUCCCUUGUAUAACCAGAAGUUAUUCAAAACAAAAUUGUCAAUGAAUUUUGGAGCUAUGAUCAAAGAAGGAAAUCAAGCAUUCCUACAAGAUCGUACAAAAACACUGAUUUUCCUUCGUCAUCAUCUCCAUGAAGGUUUAACAAAAAAUGAGCUUUUGAUGAAAAAUCACUCGUCUCAUCCAACUAGAUCUGAAUCAUUCCCUAAAGUGAAUACAAUAUUGUCCCAAACUCGUGGAUGAUGACAAGGAUGUGGUUGUGGUCGUGGAAGAAAUCCCCAAUACCAUGGUUCUUAUAGUAAUAAUUCACUAAAUUCUUAGAAAAAGAAAACCUCAUUGCACCACCAAAAGUGGAAUAAUACUAAGGUAAAACAAGAAAAUGGGAAGUGUUUACGAGAUAAAUCUCUUAAGAACCAUGAGAAUAAGUGUUAUAGAUGUGGUAUGAAGGGACAUUGAUUACGUACCUGUCGUACGCCCAAACAUUUGAUCGACCUUUACCAAGCAUCAAUAAAAGGAAAGGAAGUUGACAUGAACUUCAUUGAUAGUGAUGACCAAGUGGAUCUAACCCAUUUAGAUGUUUCGGAUUUCUUUGAGAAUCCUAAUGGGAAAAUUGACCAUCUAAUUGGUGAUGAAAAUGUUUGUUAUGAUUAAACAUUAUGUUUUUAUUUAGUUAUUUGAAAAUAGGUUUAUUUUGUUAUCAUCUUUGAACACAUUGUUUAUUGUUCCUCUUUUAUAGUUUAUUUCACAUUUUAUUAUUUAUCAUUUAAAUUCUUUUCUUUAUUUAUACUUGAAGAUACAUGGAUCUCUCUCAUACCUUGAUCCAUCACUACAAUUAGUUUGAUUAUUGAAAUACUUCCUAGUUAUUUCAUGUAUAAAUUGCUAUACACUUACAAAAUCAAAUGUGUGAGAUACUUACGAAAUAUAUAACUUUAAAUUAUCUUUUUAUAUUUGUUUUAUUGUGUUAUAUAUGCUCUCAUUGCUUUUACACAACUUAUUAAGUUAUCAUCGAUAACUAAUAUUUUUCCAUUGAUUUUAACUUUUUCUCUAUGAUAAUAUUUAUUAAACUCUACAAAGAUGAAGUCUUUAUGACAAUGUUUUAUGACUUGUUACUUUGAUGAAACUCUUGUCUCAUAAUUGCACAACAUUGAUGACAAACAAUGUUAAUACUACAUCAGGUGAUAGAAACCUAAUUAAAGGCUCCAGAAGAGCUUAUACUAUGUCACUAGUGGUAUUUGAUUCCAUGUGAAUGACACUUUAUAUGAUAGAUCCAGAAGAAUCUUUUAAGACUAACUUGGUCCCCCGGGGUAAAAGGUCAUAUUGAUGUACAUUACAAAACUAGAAGUUUUUAUUUGGUGACUAGUCUACCUAUACACUUAAAAGGUAGAAUGACAUGUUGUGUAGAUUAUCAUUUUAAUAAGACAAUUUUCUCGCCGUUAGGGGGAGAAGAGCCCGUUUCAGAAGAACGACGUGAAAUUAUUUGGAAUGCCUUGACUUUGACUCAUCUUGAUCCUCAUACAAAUCAAUGUGAACUAGAAGUUCAAAGAAUCAAUAAUUUACAAAAUCUUGCAAAUCAAUUACAAGAUGCAUUCAUUGAUACAAAGAAAGUGACAAAGUCAUAUAUCCCGGCUACAAAUACUCCAACAUGGAUUGAUGUCCCUGUAGGACAGUUAACAAAUUAAUCUAAGAUACGCUUGAAGCAUGGUAGAUCUGUCGGCUCAAAUGAUGUAACUCCCUAGAAGAUGAGAACCCAAGAAAAAUUUAUCACUCUAAAAGAGGCCAUAAAAAAAUAACUGAUCAAUUUAAAAUUGAUAAAUCUAUAGCCCUAGAAGAGGCAUAAAUAAUACAAGACGCCCUUGAAGAGGCACAAAUAUUGAACAAGAAGCCCUUAAAGAGACACAUAUUGAACGAGAAGUCCUUGAAGAGGCACAGGUACUUGAAAAUUGUGAGAUAUCAGUAAGUUAUAUAUACACGGGAGAAAAAUGAGAUCAAAAUAAUAUUAUUUUCACUUCCAAGUGGCCUUCAUAAGAAAUGAUGAAGAUCCUAAACCACGAAAUGUGGAGGAAUGCCGACAUAGAAAUGAUUGGCUAAAAUGGAAAGAAGUUAUACAGACAAAGUUAAACUCAUUAACAAAAUGAGAAGUUUUUAGACCUGUAGUCCAAACACCUGAAGAUGUAAAGCCUGUUGGAUACAAAUGGGUAUUUGUACGAAAACGCAAUGAGAAUAAUGAGAUCAUAAGAUAUAAAGUGCGAUUAGUAGCACAAGGUUUCUCACAGAAACCUGGUAUUAACUAUGAAGAAACAUUCUCUUCCGUCAUGGACGCAAUCACAUAUCAUUUCUUAAUUAGUUUGGCAGUCCCAAAAGGACUAGAUAUGUGUCUCAUGAAUGUUAUGACAACAUAUUUAUAUGGAUCCAUGGAUAAUGAUAUAUACAUGAAAAUCCCUGAAGGAUUUAAAUUACUUGAAGCAAAUUGUACAAAGCCUUGUAGCAUAUACUCAAUUAAGUUACAACGAUCCUUGUAUGGAUUAAAACAAUCUGGACGCAUGUGGUACAACCGCCUUAGCGGAUACUUGCUAAAAGAAGGGUAUAUGAAUAAUCCUAUAUGCCCAUGCAUCUUCAUUAAGAAAUUAGAAUCUAGAUUUGCAAUUAUUGCAGUGUAUGUUGAUGACUUAAAUCUUGUUGGAACUCCUUAAGAGCUCACAAGAACAACAAAUUACUUGAAAAAGAAAAUUUGAGAUGAAAGAUCUUGGAAAAACAAAAUUUUGUCUUGGCCUAUAGAUCGAGCAUUUUCGAAAUGGAGUUUUAGUACAUCAAUCAACAUACAUUAAGAAAGUUUUGGAGCAUUUUUAUAUGGAUAAAGCCUAUCCUUUAAGCUCUCCAAUGAUUGUCCGAUCAUUUGAUGUGAAAAAUGACCCAUUUCGUCCUUACGAAAAAAGAUGAAGAAUUACUUGGUCCUGAAGUACCAUAUCUUAGUGUUAUUGGUGCACUUAUAUAUCUGACCAAUUGUAUACAUCCAAACAUUGUUUUUUCUAUCAAUUUAUUAGCAAGAUAUAGUUCCGCUCCAACUCGAAGACAUUGGAAUGGUAUCAAACAUCUAUUGCGUUAUCUUCGUAGAACUACUAAUAUGAGUUUAUUUUACUCAAGGGAAUCAAAGUAACAAUUGCUUAAAUAUGCAGAUGCAGGAUAUCUUUUAGAUCCACAUAAAGGUAGGCCACAAACAAGGUAUGUGUUUAAUUGCAAUGGUAUUGUUAUUUCAUGGAAAUUUGUCAAACAAACAAUGGUGGCCACAUCAUCAAAUCAUUUAGAAAUAUUAGCAAUUCAUGAAGCAAAUAGUGAAUGUGUAUGACUAAGGUCAAUGAUCCAACACAUUCAAGAAACAUGUGGACUACCUUCCAUAAGAGGCAAUGCAACCAAGUUACAUGAAGAUAAUGUUGCUUGUAUUGCACAAAUUAAAGGAGGAUUCAUAAAAUGUGAUAGAACUAAGCAUAUCUCCCUAAAUUCUUCUAUACUCAUGAGCUUUGAAAGAAAGGUGAGAUCGAUGUUCAACAAAUUUGGUCAUGUAAUAAUCUAACAGAUCUAUUCACAAAGGUGUUACCUUCGACCACAUUGAAAAGUUAAGGUAUGACUUUGGAAUACGAAGAUUGAGAAGUCUACCAUUUGAAAUGUUGAAGAAAUCAUAAUCAUGUUUACAUGAGGGGGAGAAUGAUAAUAUGAAUAUACUGCACUAUUUUUUCCUUCAUCCAGAUUUUGUCCCAUUGAGUUUUACUGGCAAGGUUUUUAACGAGGCAGUUAUAGUAAUCCAAAAGAAUAUUGUACUCUUUUUCCUUUACUAGGGUUUUUCUCAUAGGGUUUUUCCUAGUAAGGUUUUAACGAGACAUAAUCUUAUGAUCAUCCAAGGGGGAGUGUUAUAAAAUAUGAGAUUCUCUACCAUUAUGGUAACUUGUGGAUGAUCAUCCAUAAAUAUCUUGUGUAACUCCCUUUAAAAGGAAGAAACCCCUAAUGAAAUUCAAAAGGGUUUUUCUGUACAUUCUAUUAUCUCUUUCUUGUUUUCUUUUUCUCUCACUUUGUUUUAUAACAAUUUUUAUUUUUUCGCAUGGAUCAAAUAUGUGUUUUGUAUGGAAAUCAUUUUUUUUGAGAAUUUUCUUUGUUUAUUUAUGAAAAGUGAAAAAUUAAGAAGAUAUGAUAUUUUGUUUUGUAAGUUUGAAUUAAUGAAAUAAAGUGUAUGACUUUGAAUUAUAUGAUCCUAGUCAACGGGUUAUAAUUGUUGACAUUUUUGGCCCUAAUCAACGUGUUAUAAUAGUUGACCUUAUGACCCUAGUCAAUGGACUAUAAUUGUUGACAUUUGGUGUUGUUCACCUUAAAUGAAACAAAUUUGAAACUAGUCACUCAUUUGUAAAGUCCCACUUAAUUGGGCACCAUUUAUUAUUUUGAAUGUAUUCAAUUUGGUUUUGAUGAAAAAUUGUUUUGAAAUGGAUAUGAAAAAGUUUUGUUGAAAAGUUUGAAUGUAUUAGUAUUUUGAACUUAAAAGUUUUUAUGAAAAUAAGUAUAUAUUAUAUAUCCUAUUUGCAAGUAUGAUUGAAAAUGUUUGAUCCAUGAAAUUGCAUUGAUGUUCCUUAUUGAGCUUUAAGCUCAUGCCCAUUCGUUGAUAAUUUUUCAGGUACUUUCAGUUCGGGCGAGGAGUGAUGGCUAGGUUGGGGAAUUUUUCUUUGUUAGGAUUUUGGUUCAAACUUUAUUUUGGACAUUGUUUAGAUGUUAAGAUUUAAUUCAUGUUUAAAUUAUUUGAAUUUGGAGUUAUUUGGACAAUAAUACUCUAGUUGAUGUGUUAAUUUUUUUUUUUAAAGUUGAUACUUGGAGAUUUUAGAAUUUUGUUUUACUACUUUGAACAAGAAUUUGGUAAUUGGUAAAUUUUCAAUUACAAUAUGAAUGUUUGUAUUAUUUGUAUAUUGAUUCCUUGGGCUUGAGGUGUGAAAUGACCGUCAUGCUCUAAGAGUGGGUUUUGGGGCGUGAUAUAUGCAUAGUUUAAAUUUAGGGGAUUUAUUUUCUAUAUAUUCUCCGAACUGCUCAUGAUGCCUACCAACAACAGUAACUCGUGUCAAGAACAAUUACAACAAGAUAAUUAAAAUUAAUUAAAAAUUUAUAUAUUUUUAAAUAAUAAAUAAAAAUAAUUUAUUAAUUUUAAAUUUUUAUUUUCAUUCAUUUCUUCUUUUCAUUUCUGUUUUCUUUCUCUUACAUUUUUCCUCAAAUUUUCCAGAACCCAACAUAACCUUUAUUUCCCCUCAAAGAAAAAUACAAGUUAUAGACAAAUUUGUUAUUUAUUUAUUUAUAAUUAUGUUAAAAGAAAAUUCACUUUUGAUUUAAAGCAUUUAAGCCUUUGGUAAAUUAUGAUUUUAAAAAUUAUUGUGAGUUUUAAAAGUCACAUCUUAAGUGUUUGAUACAAUUGUGAAAUUACUAUGCACAUGAACAAUGACCAAAAUAUAUAAGAAUAUUAAAAUUUUAACCAAAAUUUUGCAGAUUGGCGUUCAAAAUGAAUGUUUAAUUAAAUUUACAAUUUUACCAUUUAAAUCAAUUCUUAAUAUUUUUUUUAAAGAAGUGCUUUCAUUUAUCUAUUUGAACUGAAUUUAAGUAAAAAUAUUUGUAUCCUUAACAAUUGGUAAUUAAUUCAUGUGUAAAAUUUUAAUUUUAUAAAAAAGAAAGUUGAUUUCAAUUGAUUCGUUAUUUAAAAAUUAAGAAGAUAUUUAUUAAAAACAAAACUUCCACUUUUCAGGGAUAAGGCUUUCGAAUUUGUAAAAAUAAAGAUGACUUUAGUUUACUUUAUUUGAUAAAAAUUACUUCAAUUUUAUAAAAAUAGUUUUUAUUUAUUUAUUAGGAAAAUGGUUUCAAAUUUAUUAUUAAAAAAAGAUGAUUUCAUAUAUUUUAAGCAAAUUGGUUCCAGAUAUAUUAUAAAUAAAUAAAAAGUACUAAUAAUUUUAAAAAAAAAUUCUACAUGUUAACAAAAUGAGAUCAUAAUUUUAUUUUAUAUACUUAAAAAAAAUGUUUUAUAUUUUAGUAAAAUACUAUGGACUUACUUAAAAAAAGUUUAAAGAAAAAAAUGGCAACGAGUUCAUUAUUUAAACAAAAAAAAUCAGUUUAAAAAAAAUAUGAAUUCUUAUUUAUGUUUUUAAUAAAUUAUUAUAAAUUACUAGGAACCCCAAUUACUUUGUUCUCAUGCCUUCGAUCUUAUAGGAUGCAUGUAUUUAUCCCUUGUGAUCUCUAGAAUUAACGUAACAAAAAUAAAUAACUUCAAAAAUCAUAGAAUAAUACAAAUCUAGAAAUUAAAAUUUAUACUUGUGAUUUGAAUGUUUCUAAAUCGGAAUCCAUUCGAUGAAUGUGCCUGAUUACCCUGGAAGUCUUGUACACCCAAACUCUUCCUCCUGAUAACUCGAACCUUGGCCAUAGCACUGUAAAAAGUGGACUUUGAAAGGGAAAAAACUUUGGAUUUCUCUCUUUAAAGGUGGAAGAUGACUAACUAAAGUCAUGGAAACACUAACUUUAAUCUUUAAGAGGUAUUUAUAUGGUUCCCUUAUUAAGUUUAAGUGACUUGAGUCCACAUGGGUUUGGUUCAUUUAAUUUAACCCAAAACAGGUCCUAAUUGAUUAAUUAACCACACACAACCAUGUAAUUAAUCAAUUAACCAAAUCCAGAAACCUUGUUCAUAGUCCUCUAUGCAAGCUUGUAUAAUUACCAAAACACCCUUAUGCAUAAGAGUGAAUCAAGAGCCACUUCAACCCUUAUAAACCAUGCCAACAUGUUAUAUGAACCUAAAGUGGGGAACAUUGGGACUCAUAUAUGUGGGAAGCUUUCCUCCACGUGUCCUUCAUAGGUUCAAGACUCUUUGGUUGUCCAAGAUAAACGGAUAAUCCAUCUGGAAGCAAUUCGUUUAGAUCAAGACAAACUUCGUUUGGCGCAAGAGGAAAUACAAAUUUCCUUAUUCCCCAAUGCAAGACAGAAUGGAUAAACCGAGCCUACUGGAGACUUCCAGACGGAUAAACCAAGCUAGUUGGAAAUUCCAAGCAUUAGGUAGAUGAUUAACCGCUACCAAUGCCUAAGCGACAAUAAAAAAUAACAUUUAUACCCAAAAAUCAAUGUCCUUUAGUCGUUACGCACAAUCAAUGACAUUGACAAACGUAAAUGCACAAUCAACAACAUGGUCUGAGAUUCUUGCACGACAGAUAACAAAUGUUGCCAAUCAAUAGCUCUUAUUUGGUAUGAUUGCCCAAUCCGCACUAAGAUAGUGGCGUUGACUACCUUAUUAAGGUAUAAUAUCCACCAUGACGGUAAUCAUCAGCACAAGAAAGGCAUGAAUGCAUGAUCAACGCUGCAAUGAUGACGUCAUGUGUUCUAUAAAAACCCCUCCAGAAGCAUGCAAAAGGUAUGCGCACAUAGUCAUUCAAAAAAGUUAGAUUCACUCUCACUAGAUUCUGACUUAAGCUUAAGAGGGGCAUGCCCGAACCACCUGCCUGGACAUCCUUUUGUGCAAGAAAGCAAUUUGUCUGGACUAAGACAAGCUCCGUCUAGCGCAAAAGGAAAGAAAAAUUUCCUUAUUCCCUAAUGCUAGAUGAAAUAGACAGACCGAGCCGAUUGAGAACUUCCAAACGGGCAAACCAAGCUAGUCGGAAAUUCCAAGCAUUGGGCGGAUGAUUUACCGCCACCAAUGCCUAAGCGACAAUAAAAAAAAAAAUAUUUACAUCCAAAAAUCAAUGUACCUAAGUUGUUACGUACAAUCAAUGACAUUGACAAACAUAAAUGCAUAGUUAAUGACAUGGUCUGAGAUUAUUGCAUAACAGACAACAAAUGGCGCCAAUCAACAACUCUUAUUUGGUGUGAUUGUCGAAUCCGCGCUAAGAUAAUGACAUUGACUACCUUAUUAAGGCAUAGUAUCCGCCACGAUGGCAAUCAUCAGUGCAAGAAAGGCAUGAAUGCAUGAUCAACGCUGCGACGAUGACGCCAUAUGUUUUAUAAAAACCCCUCCAAAAGCAUAAAAAAAUGUACACACACAUAGUCAUUCAAAAAAGUUGGAUUCACUCUCACUAGAUUCUAACUUAAGUUUCGGAGGGCCGUGCUUGGACCACCUGUCCGGACAUUCUUUUGUGCAAGAAAGCUAUCUGCCUAACUUUGGUGAAGCUAGAAGGGUUUGCAUCCAGUUGGCAUAACACAAAAAAUAUACUUACUAGCUCUUUCAAAAUUUAAUUUUAAAGUUGAUUUAACAUCCCACUAUAAAAAAAUUAACUACACUUUAGUACCUUAUGUAAAUAACAAUUAGACAAAACUCAGAUUCAUGACUUACCAUCCAUUGCAUGUAGACUUCCUAUGAACUAGUGUUUGUAAUAUAACAAGGUAGUGUUAUCACCUAUUAAAAUAACCUCUCAAAUCAUUGAGUUACAAAUCUCACUUAUUAUGUGAUCAACUAACAUGUUAUAGCUCUAAGGAGCAUAUAUUAAAUUCCAUUAAAGAAAUUACUAUAGUAAUAGAUUUCAUGAUCACAUGUUCUUUAGAUCAACCAAGGUACCACUAUAAGAGAAAACACAUAAAGAGAAAGUACUAUUUUCUUGUGAAAUAGUUAAGAAUGGUGAUGUGAUUGUGAAACAUAUUCUUUUUUCAGUACCUAGUCUACUUUCGGGGCUAGUAGGAGUUUGUUAAGAUUGAGUCUCUAAAAGUAAGACAUGAUGUAACUAAGUUAGACUUGAUUGUCCCCUUGCUAUCAUUUUUAUGUAUUUCCAUUAAUUUACGCAUUCAACUUAUAUAUCUUACAUUGUACAUAACUUGGGUGUAUUAGGAGUUGCACACAAGAUACAAGUCAUGGGUUCUUUGUAAAUGCAGAUAAAUUGUCCAUAAUAAGUUCAUGCACCACAUCUGAAUUGAAGGGAUGACUUGUCUUGACCGUCGGGAUGAGUUUCUCAUGGUGAGUGCACUAGUAUAUGUAAUGAACAUUAGAUAAGACCUAUGAUGAAUAAUGACGUAAGACUAUCAAUUGUCAUGAUUUACCAAACUAUUAUACUGCAUGAUCAUUGAUGGCAACAUGUAUUCUCAAUAUAGUUACCAUCAUGCCCAAGACCCUUUGGGACUAUAAGAAUAGGGAAAUUCUACUAUAUCACUUACAUUGAUAAGCAUUUGGUUAAGUGCAUGAUGCAAAAUUCCAAGAAGGGUUUGCUACCCUUUGAGUUUGAAGUUGUUUUUUUUAGGAUUAAUGUCUUCGGACAUCUAAGAAGGAAUAUUACAUUAAAGCAGUAUCAUAUGCCUCUGUAAUGUGUUACUUUAAGUAUGUGAUUCUAUGUGCUAAACCAUAUAUUUUCUUUGUUGUAGGAAUGGUGAGUGGAUAUCGGUCCAAUCCAUGAUUAAAAUCUUGGAUGAAUGUUAAACAUAUACUCAAGUAUCUUAGGAGAAUGAGGUGAUAUAUACUUGUGAUUCUUUGUGAUGAGUUGGUACUCUUUGGGUACUAGGAAUUAGACUUUCAGUUUGAUGAAGACUCUCACAGGUCUACCUCUAGGUAUGUGUACGCUCUAAGUGGUUUUUGUUACUUCUGAAGGAACAAAGGAAGUCAUUUGACUUAAGAUGUUUCUUAUUAGAAUAAAUGAUAGUUUCCUUGGUUGUAUCAUCCAAGUUCCUAUUUUUUAUAACUAUGGGAUAGUGACAUGGUUUAAAGAACUAAAGUACUACUAGAAAAAAAAAAAAAGUGAUGUGAUUGUGGAACGGUUUAUUUCUACAAAGCCUAGUCUACUUUUGGGGCUAAUAGGAGUUUGUUUGGAUUAAACUCUUAAAAGUAAGACAUAAUAUAACAAAAUUAGACUUAAUUAUCUUUUUGUUAUCCUUUUUAUGCAUUGACAUUAAUACCAUAAAUUUAUGGAUAAAAAUUGGUGUAAAACGACUUUAUUGUUUUUUUUUUACAUAGAAUUAUUAUUUUUUUUAUUUUUUAUUUCACUAGACAAAUAAAAUCCAAAUUAAAUAAUGCUUAAUCCCUUGGAUUCAUUAAUGAAUUUAAUAUUUUUUAAAAAUAAUUUGAAACUCAAAUAAUGAAUUAAUUAAUACCAUAAAUUUAUGGAUAAAAAUUGGUAUAGAACGAUUUUAUUGUUUUUUUUCUAUAUAAAAUCAUUAUUAUUUUUUUUUAUUUUUUUACUAGGAAAAUAAAUUCAAAAUUAAACAAGACUUGAUGCAUUAAAUUCAUUAACGAGUUUAAUAAUUUUUAAAAAUAAUUUAAAACUCAAAUAGUGAAUCGAUUAAUACUAGAACUUUAUAGAUAAAAAUUGGUUUAAAAUAACUUUAUUGUUUCACUUCUAUAUAACAUCAUUGUUUUCUGAUUUUUUUCACUAGACAAAUGAACUCCAAAUUAAACAAGACUUAAUGCAUUGGAUUCAUUAACAAAUUUAGUAAUUUUUAAAAAUAAUUUAAAAUUCAAAUAGCCAACCAAUUAAUAUAAGAAAUUUAUGGACAAAAGUUGGUUUAUAACGAUUUUAUUGUUUCUUUUCUACAUAGGAUCAUUACUUUCCAAUUUUUUGUACUAGGCAAAUGAAUUUCAAAUUAGAUAAAACUUAAUAUGUUGGAUUCAUUAAUAAAUUUGAUAAUUUUUAAAAAUAACUUAAAACUCAAAUAAUGAACCAAUCAAUAUAAAAAAAAUUUAUGAAUAAAAAUUGGUUUAAAAUAAUUAUAUUGUUUCUCUUCUACAUAAAAUCAUUAUUUUCUAUUUUUUUUUACUAGGAAAAUGAACUUCAAAUUAAACAAAACUUAAUGUGUUGGAUUCAUUAAUAAGUUUAUUAAAUUUUAAAAAUAAUUUAAAACUCAAAUAAUAAACUUAUUAAUAUAAAAUAUUUAUAGAUAAAAAUUGGUUCAUAAUGGCUAUAUAAUUGAACCUAUUUUCCUUGAUUUUAUUAGAAUAGGGUGGAAUCUAAAUGCAAACCUCUGAUCUUGUUGUCUCAAAAUUAAUUUUUUUAGCCAUCCAAGGAAAAAAAAAAAAAAACCAGAAAAAGAAAAAUUGACUGAAUAUCCUAACGAAAAACAAACCAUUAUGAAUGAAAAGAAGAACAAGACAUAAAUUCCAAGCUUCAAAUGUGAUACAGGGGCUGCUGGCUAAGACUUAAAAUUCAAAGAUGUAGAAUUCAGAAUGUUGGGGCAUGGACCAGGGGUGGGACGGCCACCUCCACUGUGCCUUCCAACAUCUGAAUCACCUUCUUCAUGGUUGGACGUAGAACUGGGUCCGGAUGAACACACCACAAACCAACCAUUGCCAUUCUCUCGAACCUUUUGAAAUCAUCCGACACUUCUGGAUCAUGCUUAACCACCGCCUCUAGCUUACCCUUUCUCACACAAGUCAGAACCCAAUCCAUGAGAAUAAGGUCAUCUUCUUCCGAUUCUUCCUCAACCCGGUUCAGCUCUAUGUGCCUUCUGCAGCAUAUGAUCUCAAGCAGCAGCACCCCAAAACUGUAGACAUCAACCUUGGCCGUCACUGGAGCAUUUUUGAGCCAUUCUGGUGCCAUGUAUCCCA
Molecule: long non-coding RNA, 27601 nt
Filed under: Vitis vinifera (wine grape)
Lineage: Eukaryota; Viridiplantae; Streptophyta; Magnoliopsida; Vitales; Vitaceae
Description: long non-coding RNA (VVIN_LNC001342)
Source: RNAcentral